This 778-nucleotide ribosomal RNA is filed under the name uncultured archaeon. RNAcentral describes it as "bacterial SSU rRNA". It matches the Rfam family "Archaeal small subunit ribosomal RNA", at positions 118 to 879 of the family's 1478-position model. The record is from RNAcentral.
CGACUGGGAGCUACACCCCGGGAACUGGGGCUAAUUCCCGAUAGGUGAAGAACUCUGGAAUGAGUCUUUGCCCAAAAGGUGUCGGAUCAUGCUUUCGGCAUCGCCCAAGGAUGGGGCCGCGACCGAUCAGGUUGUUGGUGAGGUAAUGGCCCACCAAGCCUAUAACCGGUGCGGGCCGUGAGAGCGGGAGCCCGGAGAUGGGCACUGAGACAAGGGCCCAGGUCCUACGGGGCGCAGCAGUCGCGAAAACUUUGCAAUACACGAAAGUGUGACAGGGUCAUCCCGAGUGCCGACCGCUGAGGUUGGCUUUUACCCAGUCUAGAAAGCUGGGGGAAUAAGGAGAGGGCAAGUCUGGUGUCAGCCGCCGCGGUAAUACCAGCUCUCCGAGUGGUGUGGACGUUUAUUGGGCCUAAAGCAUCCGUAGCUGGCUGAACAAGUCCCCUGUUAAACCCACCGAUUUAAUCGUUGGUCUGCGGGGGAUACUGCUCGGCUAGGGGACGAGAGAGGCAGACGGUAUUCCCGGGGUAGGGGUGAAAUCCUAUAAUCCCGAGAGGACCACCAGUGGCGAAGGCUGUCUGCUAGAACGCGCCCGACGGUGAGGGAUGAAAGCUGGGGGAGCGAACCGGAUUAGAUACCCGGGUAGUCCCAGCUGUAAACGAUGCAGACUAGGUGUUUGGACGGCCACGUGCCGUUCUAGUGCCGCAGGGAAGCUGUUAAGUCUGCCGCCUGGGGAGUACGAUCGCAAGAUUGAAACUUAAAGGAAUUGGCGGGGGAGCAC